AUUGAACGCUGGCGGCAGGCCUAACACAUGCAAGUCGAGCGGAUGAAGGUAGCUUGCUCCUGGUUUCAGCGGCGGACGGGGGGGUAAUUCCUAGAAAUCUGCCUGGUAGUGGGGGAUAACGUCCGGAAACGGGCGCUAAUACCGCAUACGUCCUGAUGGAGAAAGUGGGGGAUCUUCGGACCUCACUCUAUCAGAUGAGCCUAGGUCGGAUUAGCUAGUUGGUGGGGUAAAGGCCUACCAAGGCGACGAUCCGUAACUGGACUGAGAGGAUGAUCAGUCACACUGGAACUGAGACACGGUCCAGACUCCUACGGGAGGCAGCAGUGGGGAAUAUUGGACAAUGGGCGAAAGCCUGAUCCAGCCAUGCCGCGUGUGUGAAGAAGGUCUUCGGAUUGUAAAGCACUUUAAGUUGGGAGGAAGGGCAGUAAGUUAAUACCUUGCUGUUUUGACGUUACCAACAGAAUAAGCACCGGCUAACUUCGUG
Molecule: ribosomal RNA, 484 nt
Filed under: uncultured bacterium
Lineage: Bacteria
Description: partial 16S ribosomal RNA
Rfam family: Bacterial small subunit ribosomal RNA
Source: RNAcentral